RNAcentral lists this unclassified non-coding RNA (306 nucleotides) under plant metagenome. Its description in RNAcentral is "partial contains 5.8S ribosomal RNA, internal transcribed spacer 2, and large subunit ribosomal RNA". The stretch from base 1 to 105 matches the Rfam family "5.8S ribosomal RNA", at positions 50 to 154 of the family's 154-position model. The record is from RNAcentral.
GAAAUGCGAUAAGUAAUGUGAAUUGCAGAAUUCAGUGAAUCAUCGAAUCUUUGAACGCACAUUGCGCCCGCCAGUAUUCUGGCGGGCAUGCCUGUCCGAGCGUCAUUUCAACCAUCAAGCCCCCGGGCUUGUGUUGGGGACCUGCGGCUGCCCGCAGGCCCUGAAAACCAGUGGCGGGCUCGCUGUCACACCGAGCGUAGUAGCAAUCACCUCGCUCAGGGCGUGCUGCGGGUUCCGGCCGUUAAACAGCCUUACAAAACCCAAGGUUGACCUCGGAUCAGGUAGGAAGCCCCGCUGAACUUACGC